CUGAACUUUUAAUAUACCCUAUUAUGACGAUUUCUCCACUGAAGCUAUAUAUGAUUUGAUUGUACACCUCUUUGAUAUAUCAUUUCGAUAACAUCUUUGUUCCUCAAUCUGAGAUGAUUUGAGAGAAGUGGUCAUAUUUCAGACCUCUAAGAGUUCACCAUUCCGAUC
Long non-coding RNA from Brassica oleracea var. oleracea, 168 nucleotides. RefSeq lists it as uncharacterized. Lineage: Eukaryota; Viridiplantae; Streptophyta; Magnoliopsida; Brassicales; Brassicaceae. The transcript has 3 exons. The record is from RefSeq and is a predicted model, not a curated record.